RNAcentral lists this ribosomal RNA (667 nucleotides) under uncultured soil bacterium. RNAcentral's name for it is "bacterial SSU rRNA". It matches the Rfam family "Bacterial small subunit ribosomal RNA", at positions 87 to 750 of the family's 1533-position model. The record is from RNAcentral.
GGUGGCGAGCGGCGGACGGGUGAGUAAUGCCUAGGAAUCUGCCUGGUAGUGGGGGAUAACGCUCGGAAACGGACGCUAAUACCGCAUACGUCCUACGGGAGAAAGCAGGGGACCUUCGGGCCUUGCGCUAUCAGAUGAGCCUAGGUCGGAUUAGCUAGUUGGUGAGGUAAUGGCUCACCAAGGCGACAAUCCGUAACUGGUCUGAGAGGAUGAUCAGUCACACUGGAACUGAGACACGGUCCAGACUCCUACGGGAGGCAGCAGUGGGGAAUAUUGGACAAUGGGCGAAAGCCUGAUCCAGCCAUGCCGCGUGUGUGAAGAAGGUCUUCGGAUUGUAAAGCACUUUAAGUUGGGAGGAAGGGCAUUAACCUAAUACGUUGGUGUCUUGACGUUACCGACAGAAUAAGCACCGGCUAACUCUGUGCCAGCAGCCGCGGUAAUACAGAGGGUGCAAGCGUUAAUCGGAAUUACUGGGCGUAAAGCGCGCGUAGGUGGUUCGUUAAGUUGGAUGUGAAAUCCCCGGGCUCAACCUGGGAACUGCAUUCAAAACUGUCGAGCUAGAGUAUGGUAGAGGGUGGUGGAAUUUCCUGUGUAGCGGUGAAAUGCGUAGAUAUAGGAAGGGACACCAGUGGCGAAGGCGACCACCUGGACUGAUACUGACACUGAA